GCCUGGGUGGCUCAGUCGGUUGAGCGUCCGACUUCAGCUCCGGUCAUGGCCUCGCAGUUCGUGGGUUCAAGCCCCACGUCAGGCU
Felis catus (domestic cat) is the source of this 85-nucleotide transfer RNA. It matches the Rfam family "tRNA". From Rfam's summary of the family: Transfer RNA (tRNA) molecules are approximately 80 nucleotides in length. Their secondary structure includes four short double-helical elements and three loops (D, anti-codon, and T loops). The record is from Rfam. Lineage: Eukaryota; Metazoa; Chordata; Mammalia; Carnivora; Felidae.